Molecule: non-coding RNA, 1935 nt
Organism: Rattus norvegicus (Norway rat)
Lineage: Eukaryota; Metazoa; Chordata; Mammalia; Rodentia; Muridae
Source: RefSeq, a predicted model, not a curated record
GAAUGCCCGUGGCAGGCAGGUUUUAUUUUCAAGAUUAGCGGUCCCUUAGAAUGUAAGAAAUAAAACAGGAGAAACGGGCAUAAGUUCAGGCAGGUCCAACUUCUUUUGUUCAAACGCAAGGACAGGAUGUGGAACAAUUUUCUGUCUUGUGGGUGACCAUUUUUUUUUCUUUGCCCGUAUCAUCUCCAAGCCCUUAGACCCAUUAGCCUAAUUAAUAUAAGAACAUGUGCAUAUGCAAACAAGAUUCUUCACCAUAUAUUUCACUUUAUAAGACAGGUUGAAGGGUAGUUGGGGGAGUCAAUCAACUGUCAUAAAUUUGCUAUGCAUAAGGCCUCAUUAAUAUUAAUUGGGGCGUGGGCAUUGUGCAGUGGUCCGUGCUUGCCAUUAGAGGUGGGCCCUUUGCUUUAACUGUCCCUGAGAUUAGGAAAACGAAAGCCUCUGACCCGAUUUAAAUAUGGAAUCUACACCAGGCUCCAGGUACUGAGCAGAAUCAGAAAGGUAUUUUUUAAAAAAAAAAUACAGAGCAGACCUUUUCUAAGACAGAUGGCACACAAUGAGGUUAGAAAAAGUAUCUUGAGAUCCAACCUGCAAGAACAAAAAAAAAAAAAAAAAAAAGCCCUGCUCGCAUUGUUGUUUUCAUUAUCUUGCUUCUGUCAUUUCGUGAGCUUUGUAUCUUGCAAGGAAAGAAAGAAGGGAGAAAAACUGUGAAAUUAAUCUUUUGUGCAUGGCCUGAUAAAGAAGAGACACGCUCAGACAAAAGAUAGACUGAGAGAAGGUACCGUGAUUGAUGACUAAAGUAAAGGUGUCAGGAGAGUAUUAUGUAAAUUACUGGAGGCACACACCAUUUCAGAAAGAAUGAGAGGGAGCUGAAGGGGGAGCGAGGGAGAGGGAAGGCGAGAAAGGAGUGAGGCGCGCCGAGAGUGAAAAAAGGAUUGCAGAGCCAUGUCACCAAAGAACUGGUCCCCAAACACCCAUUUCUUGCCAUCUUUCAUCUCCUCCGACAAGCUCACCUCCCAUUCUCCCUGGGCUGCACGCGGUAACAAAGGGGAUGGGGGCGGGGAGAGCUGUCAACAUUAGCAUGAUUCCAGCCACGGCAAGGUUUAGGGAAAGCGCGUCUGAAGUGAGAGCGGCGAGCAGGGAAGUUUCUGUUCAAGGGGGAAAGCUGGCUGGCGACUGCGAGUGUCUCUCUGUGGAGUGUGCCUCCGUGAGACAUGGGGACAAUCCUUGGCUGCUCUCAUUCUUCACGGUACAAAUUGGCUUCAAAAAUCCUGAGUCUUCCCCCCAACAGUCUCCGGGUGCAUCUAAGCAUCUGUGUUGAGCACAUGGAGGGGCCACUAAACAAAGGUGGGUGAAAAGUUAUGCUAAAGGCCGAGCCAGAAGCCUCACUACAAAAAUUCUCGUCAUCACCCCGCUUUGGCUUCAUUUCCUAAUGAAAUGAAUGAAGCAAGUGUUGAAAACACCUUCAUCUCCCUGACCGGAUGAGUCUGAAGUAACAGUAGGCUUAGAUUCAAUUAUCUGAAUAGGUGAUGACCUCACAAAGGACUGGGCUGCCUUCCGGAUGGGUGGACCUACAAAUGUCUCUUUCCUACAAAUCCAACAGUUUCUACAGAUUCUGAAAGAAAACAACCCUUGCAAAGCUGCGGAAGCCCAAUCUGGAGACGGCCAGAUUGUUCCUCAGAAAACUCAGCAGAAGACUCGUUUACAGCUCGGCCUUCCUUACAGGAGCAAACCCUGUUCUGUUUCUCAGCAGUGGAAUGCUGGCCCAAAGAUGAAAUGAAGAAAAUCAACCUUCCAGCUGAACCUAUUGAUUCCACCUGCCUUUCAAUUUUUGCCUCAAAAUGUUUCAGAUGAAUAAUGUUUCCCUUCUCAGAGAAGAGGAAAUAUUGAUAUCACACAAGCCAUAAUGCAAAUGAACAUUAAAGGUGUCAGACUCUA